CCCCCGCCCCCCGGCCCGGCUCGCCCCGCCCCCUGGCCACGUGACCUCACCUGCCGUCCCCCUAGGCCUCCGGAAAAGUUUGCGCGCAGCGGGGCGGGGCGGAGCGGGGCGGGGCGCCUUCCGCAGAGGUCCCCUCCCCCAGCCUGCGCUCGGGGACGGCCCGCGCCCCCGGGGUCGCGCCUCCCCCAGCGGGUGACAAUCCGCUCCUGCUCUGUCACCCUGCCCGGAGGGGGCCCUUGCCCGCACUAGCCUCCAAGCCGCCGCGUUCCCUGGAGGCCUGCGCCCGCAAGGUCCUCCCACACGCAGUCUGGCCCCCUCCAGGACAGAGCAUUACCCCCCACCCGCUCACCACACCGUGCGCGGAUCUGGUCUCCCCUUUCCCUCCUCCCCGCCUGGCUCAGGAGCACCCACAACCUUAAGGAGCCAUGCCUGGCAUAGGGUGGGAGGCAGAGGCUGCUGUUGGGGCUCAGCCCUCGACUGACAGAACCCAGACACAAGUUACCGAAGCUCUGAGACAGGUCCAGGCCCACAGAGGACCCCCGGCCUUGCCUUUCCCGGCCUCCACCCUGGGGAGCCCUCCUUUUCCUUCAUCUGGGCCCUGCAGCCAGGGAAAGAAGGCCAAGCACAGCCCUGGGAAGCACCGGCCCCCUAUCUUCCAGCCCCUGGUGCGCUCAUUAACAAAGGACACGGGAAAAGUAGAGAACAGAACGUCCACCAAAAGGAAAAGGCUGUGGCUGACCCUCCAACUUUCCAGGCUCAAGAUUUCAGCUCGUCUUUGCGGCCCGGGAGCUCGCUGUCCAGGAACCACCAAGGAGGGUGUGAGAGGGAAGGGGCGUCGGCUGCCCUGGGUCCAGGCAAGAGGCCAGCUCUGGGAGGCCCGGGACCACCUCGGGCAGCACUUCUGCUCGUCGAUGGGCUCCCUUCAGAGCGAGAGGUGGACCCCCGGGGCGCCAGGACCACGGUCGUCCACGCAGCCAGCCCAGGCCUGUGUCGGAGUCUGUAAGGACAGCCCCACGGAUCAGUAAGGAGAGACCGGCACCUCAUCAGGGGGCCGCCUGUGCUGCACACGGGGCGUGGGAAGUGUGUGGCCACUUCGGAACCCCCCUCCCCCCCCCCACACACACACACACUGGCCAGGAGCCCCCGGUCCCUCUCCCCACAGAGACACACACUCAGAUGCUCGGAGCGGCGCGGUCUUCGCGAGCCAGGCGGGAGAUGAGCCACAAGCCCAGCAACACCACGGGCAGACGGACGGGAGGGUCCGAGCUGUGCAAAUGCGUGCUGGCGCAGAGCUCAGUGACAGCUCGUGCAGGCAGGGCCAGGUGCCAGGACGGUGGCCCUGGGCACACCACUGGGCUCCGCGGUGGGUCCCGUGUGUGACCUUACUGGGGGGAGAAAGCGUAGCUCAGAGCCGCCUCUGACGUGGAGGUGGGCUCAGCCCGAUGCCCUGGGACGGAGCUCAGCUCCACGAGAGGGGGCAGCAAGCCCGAGGCCCCAGGUGCACCUCCCCUUGCCCGAGUCGCUUGUGUCCCUGGCAGUGGGCCACCCGGGGCCGCAUCUCCCACGUCCUUCUGUGGGCGAGCACCAGCGAGAACUGUCCAUCACAUCACAAAGAACUCCGUCUGGUGCACCUGUCCCGGCGGGAGGUCCCAGGUGGGUGGUCUGUCAGCCCCGAGGGUCUCAUGAGUCCAAGCCCUGGGGCAGGAAAUGUCCCAAAGCUCCCUUGGCAGGCGCGGCUCAGGGCCUUUAUCUGUGCUGUGCCAACUACUCACAGGGAAAGAAGACAACCAUCUAUAGCAACAGCAAUGAUGCCCGUUCUGUGGGCCCCAGAGAGGCCGAGUGGAUGCCAGAUGUCACACAGCACAGCGGGGGGCUGGGACAGCAGGCAGCUCCGAGAGUCCACAGACCCCGGGCGGGGGGUGGAGACUGGAGCUGCCCUUCUGGGGACCCGAGCCCACUGCCCACCCACACCUCGCCCAGGCCCUGAAGGCGGAGCCCUGGACACAGGGCCAUGGGCCACCCUCAGUAGCUGGCACGGGCUCUCCCAGGAAAGGGCAGCUGUGUGCACACCCGGCCUGGAAAGGGACUCUGCCGAGCGUCCUGUGGUCGCCGCCCCCCACCCCAACACCGGGCGGUGGUGUCCGGACAAGCUGUGCAACGGUAGGGGUCACGUGACCCCCAAGGAAGGUGAGCUCCUUUGCUGACCAGUUUCUCUAAGAAUUCAACAGUCCGUCACCGAGCAUCACCGUGCCAGGCACCGCGGCCGUCCCUGGACACAUAAAGUGGGGGCCAGUGGGUCCCCACAUCCCAGGCUCCAUCUGGUGUAGGAGGCAAGGUCUCCAGGCCUCAAGGAAGAAGCCCUUGUUCAUUUGCUGUCCCUUCUUUGGAAGAGUGACCCCUCCAAAGUGACAAACUGCCCAGGUCACCCCAGGUGGCCCUGCACAGGGGCCACCGUCUUGGAGACUGCUUUCCCACGGCAGCUGAACCCCCAAGCCCACGGUGGCAGCACCCUGCUUCUGCGAGCUCACCCCUCCUGAGGCUCCUGAGACGUUGUGGGGACGGCCAAGGCUGGCCACCACGGCCUGUGGCUAUUGUUCAUGGGAGCCUGUGGUGACCCCCGCUGUCCCCAAGUCCCGUGGGGGUGGUCACUGGGUCAUCCUAGAGUCCUCGUGACCAGACCAGCAUCCUCUCUGAGGACGGGACCCCCACUCAGGGCCAUGCUAGGGCCUGGGUGACUGUUUUCGGGAGGGAGGCAGCUUGAAAGGCCGCCAAGCAUCGGGGUCUCACACAAUGUAGUCAGUGGGGGUGAAGACCCCAGCUUGGGGGCUGUCACAGCGACCCAGUGCCACGCUGUGACCGUGUGUGGGCAUGUGGCCCUGUGGACGUGGCUGCCGUGAAUCCUGCCACCACACGGGCCUCCCUGCCUCCUUCACCCAACCUCGCAUCUGGACAAAAACGUCUGCAUUUUGACUUUUCUUCCCCUUUCUGAAAAAUGGAUUCUGUUUAAUUGUGGCAAAAUACACAGAAUAAUAAAUUGGCCAUUUUAACCAUA
This is a long non-coding RNA of Felis catus (domestic cat), 3052 nucleotides long. RefSeq lists it as uncharacterized. The transcript is spliced from 4 exons. The record is from RefSeq and is a predicted model, not a curated record. Lineage: Eukaryota; Metazoa; Chordata; Mammalia; Carnivora; Felidae.